AAGUCGUAACAAGGUCUCCGUUGGUGAACCAGCGGAGGGAUCAUUACAGAGUUGCAAAACUCCCACAACCAUCGCGAACAUACCUAAAACCGUUGCUUCGGCGGGCGGCCCCCGGGGACCUCCCGGGGCCUUCGGCCCAACCCAGGCGCCCGCCGGAGGUACACAACCCUGAGCUUUGCAUGGCCUCUCCGAGUCUUUGAAAUCAGUUAAAACUUUCAACAACGGAUCUCUUGGUUCUG
This 239-nucleotide unclassified non-coding RNA is filed under the name fungal sp. RNAcentral's name for it is "partial internal transcribed spacer region". The stretch from base 1 to 46 matches the Rfam family "Eukaryotic small subunit ribosomal RNA", at positions 1786 to 1831 of the family's 1831-position model. The record is from RNAcentral. Lineage: Eukaryota; Fungi.